AUCCUCACGAUCACUGCAGGAGACUACCCCCGUCCGUGGGGAGGAAGCCCAAAAGCCCUUACCUCCCCACAGACGAUCACUGCCUCCUCUCUGGGUAGCCGGAUUGGCCGCCCACAUGACUACUGGCUCCAUGAUGGAGCUGGUAGGGGCAGUGGGGAUUAGGGACUGCCCAGCCCCCGGAAGUCCCAGCAUGCCCGGGGGUCUCACAUGCAAGUGAGCGGGGCAUUGCGAGUGUGUGAGGGCAUGCGAGUGUGCAGGGGGUCUUGCAUGUGAGUGUGUGGGGCAUUUUGGGAAACCCCCAAGAAUGGGAGGCAUGGCAUGGCGGCACACGAUCAACAGAACAAUGUUUCCCGCCUCCCUAAGUGCCAGAAUACGCAUAAUACAGAGGAUCCAUGAAACUCAGUCUAGGUCAGAGGCCCUUCUCUGGAUUUACCAUCUUUUGGAAUUGGGCAGACAGUGACUGGACAAAGGCUCUGACUGAAAUCCUCCUAGGACCAUCACUCCACCCUCAUGUGGAGGGAAAAGGACAUUCCUUUGAUUUUUAAAAUUAAUUUUUGUCUUCCCCAUUGCAGAAACACACAAUCAGUAAAGUGAAAGUACUUUCUGGUUUGUCAUUAGAAAGAAUUUCUCACUUUCUCUUCUUUCUCUUCUUCGGAGAGUGCAGUCCCAUCAAAAACAGAAGGAACUCCACCUCCUUGGUAAGAUGAACCAUUAAGGGAUUAAAAGGCGUGAAGUCUUUUAAUCCCUUUUAAAAUGUUGGCCUGUUCCUGCAGCUGUUUCCCAUUUUCCUACAUCUUCCUCCAUUUCCCAUUGUCUUUGGUCAGCUGCAACCACAUGCCCCACCCAUUCCCUACUAUGGGACACUCAUAUAGGACUCCCACAUAUAGGUUUAACUGGUCUACUCCUCCCUAGAGCUGCACAUGCAGAAGGAAGGGAAAAGGCUUCAGUGCCACAUGGAGCUGCUUGCCCCAUAUGGCUACAUGAAAACUGGGGACAGUGGAAUACAGCCAUGCUGAGCAGCCCGGAGACUGAGAUGUAUGGAUAGCUAUGCCCCAAUAUUAUUUACAGAAUGUCAAAGUUCUGAGAAAACUGAUAAUAUGUAAUGAAGGUAACCCAAAAGGUAUAAUUCCUAUAAGUGGAGCAUAUGGAAACCUUCCUAGAUGUUUAAACUUUUUUUUAAAAUGUGGGGCUUCCUGCUCCAUAAAAAAAUUAAUAUAUUAUUUUCAGCAUAUUGGGUUCCAAAUUGAACAUAGUUCCUGCAGACUCCAAUAACACCAUUGCUGUGUGUUGCUGACAGCACUUGAACCAGACAAUCCUAUUUACAUGGGUUAUUUUAUUAAAUGGUGAUGCAUCAACCCAGACCGCCAAGUGUAUGAUUCACUAAAUAGUGUCAAGGUUACACCUUGAUGCUAAUAAAGUUUCAUUAAGAAUGAAAUACCAUUAUCAGCAGUGUCUUUGUAAU
This is a long non-coding RNA of Hemicordylus capensis (graceful crag lizard), 1462 nucleotides long. RefSeq lists it as uncharacterized. The transcript has 3 exons. NCBI's taxonomy places the organism in Eukaryota, Metazoa, Chordata, Lepidosauria, Squamata, Cordylidae. The record is from RefSeq and is a predicted model, not a curated record.